RNAcentral lists this ribosomal RNA (251 nucleotides) under uncultured prokaryote. RNAcentral describes it as "partial 16S ribosomal RNA". It matches the Rfam family "Bacterial small subunit ribosomal RNA", at positions 525 to 775 of the family's 1533-position model. The record is from RNAcentral.
ACGUAGGGUGCAAGCGUUGUCCGGAAUUAUUGGGCGUAAAGAGCUCGUAGGCGGUUUGUCGCGUCUGCUGUGAAAACCCGAGGCUCAACCUCGGGCCUGCAGUGGGUACGGGCAAACUAGAGUGCGGUAGGGGAGAUUGGAAUUCCUGGUGUAGCGGUGGAAUGCGCAGAUAUCAGGAGGAACACCGAUGGCGAAGGCAGAUCUCUGGGCCGUAACUGACGCUGAGGAGCGAAAGCAUGGGGAGCGAACAG